GGACUACCCGGGUUUCUAAUCCCGUUCGCUCCCCUGGCUUUCGCACCUCAGCGUCAGUUACCUCCCAGGACACUGCCUUCGCCUUUGGUAUUCCUCCGGAUAUCUACGCAUUUCACCACUCCACCCGGAAUUCUAUGUCCCUCUGAGGUCCUCCAGUCGCCCCGUCUUCCCGGCACUCCCGUCGUUAAGCAACGAGCUGGCACCGGAAACGCGGGCAACCGCCUGCGUGCGCUUUACGCCCAGUAACUCCGGACAACGCUUGCCCCCUACGUAUUACCGCGGCGGCUGGCAC
This 292-nucleotide ribosomal RNA is filed under the name uncultured bacterium. Its description in RNAcentral is "partial 16S ribosomal RNA". The record is from RNAcentral.